GCCCUGGUAGUGUAGUUUGGAUAACACAUAGGACUGCGGAUCCUUUACCCCGGGUUCAAAUCCCGGCCAGGGCA
Methanobrevibacter curvatus is the source of this 74-nucleotide transfer RNA. It matches the Rfam family "tRNA". Rfam says of the family: Transfer RNA (tRNA) molecules are approximately 80 nucleotides in length. Their secondary structure includes four short double-helical elements and three loops (D, anti-codon, and T loops). Further hydrogen bonds mediate the characteristic L-shaped molecular structure. tRNAs have two regions of fundamental functional importance: the anti-codon, which is responsible for specific mRNA codon recognition, and the 3' end, to which the tRNAs corresponding amino acid is attached (by aminoacyl-tRNA synthetases). tRNAs cope with the degeneracy of the genetic code in two manners: having more than one tRNA (with a specific anti-codon) for a particular amino acid; and 'wobble' base-pairing, i.e. permitting non-standard base-pairing at the 3rd anti-codon position. The record is from Rfam. Lineage: Archaea; Methanobacteriati; Methanobacteriota; Methanobacteria; Methanobacteriales; Methanobacteriaceae.